This 204-nucleotide long non-coding RNA is filed under the name Malus domestica (apple). Its description in RNAcentral is "long non-coding RNA (MDOM_LNC019138)". Lineage: Eukaryota; Viridiplantae; Streptophyta; Magnoliopsida; Rosales; Rosaceae. The record is from RNAcentral.
UUCCAUGAGAUUUGUUUGACUUUGGUCUGAUUGACGGUGAAGGUAGAAGCAGAAGAGGAGGUUGUCGAUCCAACCCGUGCAUCAUAGAUCAGAAACUACGGCGCUGUGGGAACUGAAGAGAGAGACUGAAUUUGGGUGCCCUCCGGGUGCCCCAAAUUUCUACAGAGACGAAGGGAAAGGGAGGAGAGAUCCACGGGAGUCAUC